CCUACGGGGGGCAGCAGUGGGGAAUAUUGCACAAUGGGCGAAAGCCUGAUGCAGCAACGCCGCGUGAGGGAUGACGGCCUUCGGGUUGAAACCUCUUUUAGUAGGGAAGCGGUACCUGCAGAAAAAGCACCGGCUAACUACGUGCCAGCAGCCGCGGUAAUACGUAGGGUGCAAGCGUUGUCCGGAAUUAUUGGGCGUAAAGAGCUCGUAGGCGGUUUGUCGCGUCUGCUGUGAAAUCUGGGGGCUCAACCCCCAGCCUGCAGUGGGUACGGGCAGACUAGAGUGCGGUAGGGGAGAUUGGAAUUCCUGGUGUAGCGGUGGAAUGCGCAGAUAUCAGGAGGAACACCGAUGGCGAAGGCAGAUCUCUGGGCCGUACUGACGCUGAGGAGCGAAAGCAUGGGGAGCGAACAGGAUUAGAUACCCCUGUAGUC
RNAcentral lists this ribosomal RNA (431 nucleotides) under uncultured bacterium. RNAcentral describes it as "partial 16S ribosomal RNA". It matches the Rfam family "Bacterial small subunit ribosomal RNA", at positions 338 to 795 of the family's 1533-position model. The record is from RNAcentral.